Molecule: unclassified non-coding RNA, 227 nt
Filed under: Artocarpus thailandicus
Lineage: Eukaryota; Viridiplantae; Streptophyta; Magnoliopsida; Rosales; Moraceae
Description: partial contains external transcribed spacer and 18S ribosomal RNA
Source: RNAcentral
UUGUUCUCCUUGCCAGCCCCGUGGUUCCAAGGUGGACGUGGAACCAGUUGCUGUGGCCCUGAAGCAAUCCUUUGGAGGCGGCUUUCUUGGUCCAUGGUUCUCUGUUUGUGCUCUCGGAUGCGGAAUACUAUGCGGACAAAGGGCCUUUGGCCUUUGGUUGCUCCGAAUCUAGUCCCUCAACGCAACGACUAUGUUACCUUAUUGGCCGGUGGGUUCCUUUGGUGCCA